This 145-nucleotide non-coding RNA is filed under the name Nomascus leucogenys (northern white-cheeked gibbon). Lineage: Eukaryota; Metazoa; Chordata; Mammalia; Primates; Hylobatidae. The record is from Rfam by way of RNAcentral.
GCCAGGCAUGGUGGCGCAUGCCUGUAAUCCCAACUCGGGAGGCUGAGGCAGGAGAAUCGCUUGAAUCCAGGAGGUAGAGAUUGCAGUGAGCUGAGAUCACACCACUGCACUCCAGCUUGGACAACAGAGCGAGAUUCUGUCUCAA